AUUGAACGCUGGCGGCAUGCCUUACACAUGCAAGUCGAACGGCAGCACGGAGCUUGCUCUGGUGGCGAGUGGCGAACGGGUGAGUAAUAUAUCGGAACGUACCCUAGAGUGGGGGAUAACGUAGCGAAAGUUACGCUAAUACCGCAUACGAUCUAAGGAUGAAAGUGGGGGAUCGCAAGACCUCAUGCUCGUGGAGCGGCCGAUAUCUGAUUAGCUAGUUGGUAGGGUAAAAGCCUACCAAGGCAUCGAUCAGUAGCUGGUCUGAGAGGACGACCAGCCACACUGGAACUGAGACACGGUCCAGACUCCUACGGGAGGCAGCAGUGGGGAAUUUUGGACAAUGGGCGAAAGCCUGAUCCAGCAAUGCCGCGUGAGUGAAGAAGGCCUUCGGGUUGUAAAGCUCUUUUGUCAGGGAAGAAACGGUGAAAGCUAAUAUCUCUUGCUAAUGACGGUACCUGAAGAAUAAGCACCGGCUAACUACGUGCCAGCAGCCGCGGUAAUACGUAGGGUGCAAGCGUUAAUCGGAAUUACUGGGCGUAAAGCGUGCGCAGGCGGUUUUGUAAGUCUGAUGUGAAAUCCCCGGGCUCAACCUGGGAAUUGCAUUGGAGACUGCAAGGCUAGAAUCUGGCAGAGGGGGGUAGAAUUCCACGUGUAGCAGUGAAAUGCGUAGAUAUGUGGAGGAACACCGAUGGCGAAGGCAGCCCCCUGGGUCAAGAUUGACGCUCAUGCACGAAAGCGUGGGGAGCAAACAGGAUUAGAUACCCUGGUAGUCCACGCCCUAAACGAUGUCUACUAGUUGUCGGGUCUUAAUUGACUUGGUAACGCAGCUAACGCGUGAAGUAGACCGCCUGGGGAGUACGGUCGCAAGAUUAAAACUCAAAGGAAUUGACGGGGACCCGCACAAGCGGUGGAUGAUGUGGAUUAAUUCGAUGCAACGCGAAAAACCUUACCUACCCUUGACAUGGCUGGAAUCCUCGAGAGAUUGAGGAGUGCUCGAAAGAGAACCAGUACACAGGUGCUGCAUGGCUGUCGUCAGCUCGUGUCGUGAGAUGUUGGGUUAAGUCCCGCAACGAGCGCAACCCUUGUCAUUAGUUGCUACGAAAGGGCACUCUAAUGAGACUGCCGGUGACAAACCGGAGGAAGGUGGGGAUGACGUCAAGUCCUCAUGGCCCUUAUGGGUAGGGCUUCACACGUCAUACAAUGGUACAUACAGAGCGCCGCCAACCCGCGAGGGGGAGCUAAUCGCAGAAAGUGUAUCGUAGUCCGGAUUGUAGUCUGCAACUCGACUGCAUGAAGUUGGAAUCGCUAGUAAUCGCGGAUCAGCAUGUCGCGGUGAAUACGUUCCCGGGUCU
RNAcentral lists this ribosomal RNA (1352 nucleotides) under uncultured bacterium. RNAcentral describes it as "bacterial SSU rRNA". It matches the Rfam family "Bacterial small subunit ribosomal RNA", at positions 28 to 1381 of the family's 1533-position model. The record is from RNAcentral.